GGUUGCGAUCAUACCAGCACUAAUGCACCGGAUCCCAUCAGAACUCCGCAGUUAAGCGUGCUUGAGCGAGAGUAGUACUAGGAUGGGUGACCCCCUGGGAAGUCCUCGUGUUGCAACCCC
This 120-nucleotide ribosomal RNA is filed under the name Helianthus annuus (common sunflower). The record is from RNAcentral. Lineage: Eukaryota; Viridiplantae; Streptophyta; Magnoliopsida; Asterales; Asteraceae.